AUUGAACGCUGGCGGCAGGCCUAACACAUGCAAGUCGAACGGUAACAGAAAGCAGCUUGCUGCUUUGCUGACGAGUGGCGGACGGGUGAGUAAUGUCUGGGAAACUGCCUGAUGGAGGGGGAUAACUACUGGAAACGGUAGCUAAUACCGCAUAACGUCGCAAGACCAAAGAGGGGGACCUUCGGGCCUCUUGCCAUCGGAUGUGCCCAGAUGGGAUUAGCUAGUAGGUGGGGUAACGGCUCACCUAGGCGACGAUCCCUAGCUGGUCUGAGAGGAUGACCAGCCACACUGGAACUGAGACACGGUCCAGACUCCUACGGGAGGCCGCAGUGGGGAAUAUUGCACAAUGGGCGCAAGCCUGAUGCAGCCAUGCCGCGUGUAUGAAGAAGGCCUUCGGGUUGUAAAGUACUUUCAGCGGGGAGGAAGGGAGUAAAGUUAAUACCUUUGCUCAUUGACGUUACCCGCAGAAGAAGCACCGGCUAACUCCGUG
This 490-nucleotide ribosomal RNA is filed under the name uncultured bacterium. RNAcentral describes it as "partial 16S ribosomal RNA". It matches the Rfam family "Bacterial small subunit ribosomal RNA", at positions 30 to 507 of the family's 1533-position model. The record is from RNAcentral.